GCGGGGUUCGGGGGGCGGCGCUCGGCUGUGCCGCGUUUGCUCCCGCUGCGGCGUUCCGGGCUGCGCGCUGGGCAGCUCGCUUUUCGCUUCUCUUGGGUAGCGCAGAGCUCUGUCGGGGUGGCUCUGCGGAGGGGUCGAUCUGUGGCUGUUGGGGCUGUGUGUCGCGGGACAGCCUCAGGAUGAAACGGCGUCGGUUGGGAGCGGCUCGGCUCUGUGCUGUCCCUUCUUGGGCGGCGGGCCGUGCUGGGAGGGCGUGGCGGUUUUGUUUUCGGCUUCUACCAAGCCUAAGUUGCACGUGCGUGCUGCCCAACAUCUGGUGAAAGCUCUUGGCUUGUGUGUGUGCUUCAGAAGGAUUCAGGUGAAUUUUUUUUUCCCCCACUUGUCAGUCUGGGCUGACUUUGAAGAAGCUCCAGUGUGGGUUCCGGUUCCCUGAGCGGUGAGAACUCAGGGCUUGAUGCUGCUGAGGCUUUAAAGGCAGCCGAUGCCUCCCUUUUCCUGGGGGCUGUGGUUGUUUGUGUUGGUGGUCGCUUUUUGGUUGUUGUUGUUCGUUUGGUUUUGUUCCCCCGGUGAACUUAAUUCCUGAUCAAUUAACUUCUACCUCGGGUGUUUUGUAUGUGCUGUGAGGUGCCACAGGGUAAUUUCCCGGUGUUCGUUUCUGUUCCUCCCAGACAUCCAAGUCAAAUCAAGGCAAGCUUGGGCCGAGGAAAGCAUCCAGAGCUGAGUUUUUGUGUAUAAUGAGGGAAUUUCCCACAUGUGUGGGGAAGAGUUUAUGUGUUGGCAGAGAAAAGGCAUGGAGGCUUUCAGUUCACAGUGCAAUAGAACUUUGUUCAUCCUGAACAAAGCAGCACUGAAGUAAUAGUUACUGUAUGAUGCAAACUCCAGAGUAACCAGGAAUUGGUUUGGAUGUUCCAGAUGUGAACUGGUCAUGACUGGGAUCUAGUCGGACUCGCUGUUCAUUCAAAUAUUGUUUCCAUGUUGUGUCAGUCUGUCUAAAUUUGGUUUAGUUUUAAUUAACUAACAAUGUACAAUGGGCACGUGGCUUAUUUCUGGUUUUGAUUCAUUUCCAUCUUCACCUUCUUAAACUGGCUCUAGUUAACAUGGGAAGAGCAGAAGUUUCAAAUGCAAUUUGGAGUGCUGCUUCGGGUCUGAUAUGCAUUGCGGUUUCAAAAGAGUGAACGGAAUAAUUAUCUGGAAAUUAACUCUGAACUUUGGGGAAAUAAUACUCUGUGUGUAUAGAUAGCAGAUUGUACUCAGGCUGAGAACGUGUGCUGUUCAUGUGUGUCUUCUAAAAAUAUUUUCACAUGCAAAUUACAUAACCGUUGGCUGCAUGCUUCUAACCAGAUUGUCACUGCGAGGCUGAUGGUUCCUGAGAAACUGGAUGCAGAGUGGGAGAUACCAACUGAAAACUUCUGCUUGAAAGGUUUUGUUUUUCAGGGUUUGCUUGUACUGUUCUCUUCUUUUACCAAAACCAUAUGAAAUUAGAAUUUAAACACAUGAAAUGCCUUUUUGAGAAUGCAAGACUGAUACAGUAACUGACUAUAUGUAUACCUCUUUUUUCCCUGUUUAAUGCUUAAAUAUAUGGUUAAUAUUGUUAUAUACAUAUAGGAUGAGUUUACAGUCCUGACGAUUGCAAUUUUGAGAGUGAAUUUUGAGUUGUUUGUGUAUAAAAAGUCAAGAUUACUGCAAUUGUAAACCUUGCAUUUCAUGACUAACUUCAAGUCCACAAGUCAGAUUCUUGCAUUGCUGCUAGCUGAUGUUGAUAUGUACACACGGUAUGCCUGGCUCUUGCAUUCUGGUAUUGUAACCGGAGAAAGGGAGAUCUUUGUUAUGAAGUCAGUAGCCAAAAUAUGAGGCUGGGUUCAUGUGGUCACCUGCUGACCUGUUUAAAUCCUUUUCUCUGCAGUGGAAACCUCUUGUAAGAUAUUCUUAGGACUUUUUUUUCCUCUGACCUUUUGAAAAUAAAUUCUGUGUUGUUUCCCUACUACAGUGUGUAACCUGUGUAACCUUGACAAAGAGGAGAAGUUUAUUUGCUGCUGACAGUUAAAGGUGUGUUUUUUUUUCUUUUUAAUUUUCCCCACUCCAGCUCUUAACAGGAGCAUCUUUAGACUGUAGCAGAGAGAAAAACUAUCUUGAAUGGAACACCUUAAGCACAUUUUCUUAGUUUUCAUUGUGCUCUUUGAGUUACUUUGUCUCGCUGUCCUAUGGCUUGUAGGUUUCAAACUCUAAUGCAAUAUGGAGCAAUAAUCAAAACUUGGUAGCUUUGGGAUUUUCAGAACUGGAUUGCUUUCAGGAGUAUAACCCUGAUGCAGUGUAGCUUCAAUAUCAUGAAACCAGUGAUGUUUUCCAGUUGUGAUUGCUGUCCAUAGGAUGCUACCCCCAAUUUGGCUAUAUGCCUGCAUCACAGAAUCAUAGAAUCACAAAGAUUGGAAAAGACCUACAAGAUCAUCCAGUCCAACCAUCCACCUAUCACCAGUAGUUCUCACUAAACCGUGUCCCUCAACACAACGUCUGAAUAUUCCCUGAAUAGCUCCAGGGUCAGUGACUCCAUCACCUCCCUGGGCAGCCCAUUCCAGUGCCUGACCGCCCUUUCAGAGAAGUAGUAUUUCCUAAUGUCCAGCCUAAAUCUUCCCUGGUGCAUCUUGAGGCCGUUCCCUCUCAUCCUGUCACUGGUUAUGUGAGAGAAGAGUUCGACCCCCAGUUCACUACAACCUCCCUUCAGGAAGUUUCAGAGAGCAGGAAGGUCUCCCUUGAACAUCCUCUUCUCCAGACUGAACAAUCCCAGUUCUCUCAGCUUUUUGCCAUCAGACUUGUGCUCCAGAGCCCUCACAGCUCCACUGCUCCUCUCUGGACACACUCCAGGGCCUUGAUGUCUUUCUUGCAGAGAGAGGCCCAAAUUGAACGCAGUGCACAAUGGGGUUGUAUUGCUACUCUUAGUGCAGGUCAGCAUUAUGUAGAACAAAUAUUUUAACACUGAUGUAAGGAACUGACUUGAACUCAGUGUGAGGUAAUAUAACAUCAGUCCAAAUGAAGUUGGGUUUUGGUAAGCACAAAGAUCUUGGUUAACUUGUUUAUAACAAUGAGGACUUCAAAAAUGGUGUGGAAGUUUGGGGUUGUAUUGGUUAAAUGAUGUUCAAAAUAAUAAUUAAAAAAAAAAUUAGACAAGCAAAGUGUUCUGAAAUAAAUUGAAAAAAGCAUAGGUAAUAUUUAACAUCCAAACAAGAUGUGUUGGUUUCUAGUCUCAUAUUGUUUUUUUUGUGUGUGUUUAACUGAUGUUUCUCCUAAAGGCAGGUUUUAUUUAGGUCUCCCUUUCCCCUGAGUUCAGGUUUUGUACUGGUUUUUCUGUUCUUCUUCACAAAAGUCUGAGAUUUCUGAGAUGUAAUUUCUUUUCUCUUAGUUGUGAUUGUAUUUUUAAAUGAUUGACUCGUGACAGAAUUCCAAGACAUUGUAUCAGGAAGGUGAUUCAUGAGUUUUGAAAGCGGUGCUUUUCAGCAAUAACGUCUGAAGGCAGUGUUUUAUUGAGGGCAAAUGGGGAUGAUGCUGGUUUCUAUUGCUUCUCUUUUCUGUGUAUUGGUAAAAGGGAAAUCAAACUAUAUCUGUGCAAGCACACAGGGUUGGAUGUAACAUACCAUUCUUUUUAAAAGUACCCAAUUCUUUCAUUCUGUUUUCAGUUACUUUGGGAGUCUCCUGUUUUAAUUUCUUGAAAAUAUGCAAUAAUCAAAUGUAUUGAAAAGUCAAGUCCUUGUGACGCUUGGAAAGUUUCUGAAUAUCUUGCCAGCUGAACUUGGUUCAGAAGGUAGAAGUAUGAUGAAUAUUACUUGCCAUUCGAGACUUUUCCCAGGAAUACUUUUAGACACUCGUGCUAAAAUUUGUGUAGAUUUUGGCAACCAUUAUCUUGUGGUGGUCUUAUUUAAACUUGAUUAUUUUCUUUGCUCUCUACAAAUAAUUUCAAAAAUCAUCCUGUGAAAAGAUGCCAUUAAAAAUAGUUUUCCCAUCUCAUCUUCCUUGAAUUGCCAACAACUGUAUGCUUUCCCAAUUUCUCACAGAAUUGCACGAGUCUUGGAAGUUACAUUUUAAACUUGCUGGGGCUAAUUGUGUGUGAGCUCACAUCUGGCUGUAAGCAAAACCUUUCCUGAGCUUGAAUUGUCCCCUCGUUUUUGGACCGUAGGGUUUCCUGAGGUUUAAGCAUUAGGCUUAGCGUUAUGCACAUUUAGAAACAGUUGAUGAAUCAGAAUUCCUUUAUGUGGGGUUAACCAAACUGAAAACCUAUGAAGUGCUGUACAGAGGAGUUACGUAUCUGUUUUAUUUUCUGGUGGUGCUUAAAGGCUGCAUCACAAUUGAAUUUUGUUGUGGUUUUUGCUGUAAUACAUGUGGUUCUUCACCCUCAAAACCUGAAGACCAUCAUCCUUCUCAAAUAAAUAGAUAAAUUCCCAAACUGGUUGUGGAGUGGUGUGUUUUUUGUUUUUUUUUUUUUUUUUUGUGUAACUCUUGGCUCCUUUGCUGCUUGCAUGUGGGACAGAGAUGAGGGAGAAAGAAGGAAAAAUAUAUAUAUAUAUAUCUGUUACUUUCAAUACUUUUUUCCCCCCCGUGGUGCCUGAAAUAUCAGUAGUUCAACUUCUAGCUGUAACCAGAUUUUACUACUGCUUUUUUGCUGGUGUGUAUUUAUCACCCCUCUCAUUCUCAUGCAUUGCAACUUGCUGGCCUAAUUGGUUCUAAUUACAUGUCAUAGAAUCAUUAGUGCUGGAAAGGACCCUUAAAGGUCAUCUAGUCCAACUCCCCUGCAGCGAACAGGGACACCACACUAAGAUCAGGUUGCCCUGGGCCUGGUCCAGCCUGGUCUUGGAAGUCUCCAGGGAUGGGGCAUCCACCACAGUUGUUCCAGUGCUUCAGUACUCUUGUUCCAAAAGAAUUUUUCUUUGUAUCUAACCUAAAUGUGUCUUUUCUAAGCUUGAAUCCAUUUCCCCUUAUCACAAUAGACCCUGCUAAAGAGUCUGUCCCCUUUUUCUUACAGCCUCCCUUUACUGAAAGCCACUCCCAGGUCUCCCCCACAGCCUUCUCUUCUCCCGGCUGAACAGCCCUAGCUCUCUCAGCCUGUCCUACAGGAAUGUGUUCCAUCUCUUGGCUCAUUCUUGUGGCCCUCCUCUGGAUGCACUCCAACAGCUCCAUGUCUCUCCUGUAUUGAGGACUCCACAUCUGGAUGCAGUACUGCAGGUGAAGCCUCACCAGCACAGAGCAGAGGGGCAGGAUCACUCCCUCACCCUGCUGACCACAUUGCUUUGGAUGUAGCCCAGGAUAAGGUUGGCUUUCUAUGUGAGGGAACAUUGCUGUUUAUGUCCAGUUUCUAUCCACCAGUUCCCCCCGAUCCUUUUUGGCAGGGUUUUGCUCUGUUCUUCCAUCCCCCAGCCUGUACCGAUAGCAGGGUUUGCCAUGACCCAGGUGCAAGACCUUGCACUUGGCUUUUCCUAAUGUGUUUUUUUUAUGUGGCAGCAGCAUCCAAUGAUGUUUGCACAAGUGGGUCUUCAUGUGGUACCACAAAAGCAUCUCCUCCUCAUUUGUUCCUUCUCCCCCCAAAGUGCCAGGACAAUCAUUGGUGGUAUUCAGGCUGCGAGCUUCCUGUCUAAUAAUACACAGGAUUAUCACCAAUGUGCAAAUGCAGUUGUUUUUGUUGAAACAGGUAUUCUCUAGUGAAUUUUCAUUUUCUAAAAUAGAAGAGCAGUAUAAGUUGGCAGUAAAAGGGAAUUUCUAAUAUUUAGUAGAAUCAAUUGUUCAUCUUUAUAUAUAUAUAAAAAAAUCAAAUAUUUUUGACAGAAAUAUGAAAUGAAGAUAUCCAAGGUAGGAAUUUUGCUGUUGAAGAUAUUCUCUCACUUUGUGGAUGUGUCCUAUCUCUCAUUUUCAGCUUUAGCUUGCUUGAUGCCUAUCUCUUGCUGUUCAGUGACUGGGGCCCCUCGUGUGUGCAGUCAGUGCUGGAGCUUCUUUCCUGCAUCAGAACUCCCAGGCCAGGUCAGUGCUCAGUCUGAUUUGUGUUCUGCUGCACAGAGGUUCCCAGAUUUUACUUGAUGCUACGGGUGCUUUAUUUUGCAGUAGCUUCCUACCUGCAUUUUUGUAAGCAUCUCCCUUUCCUAGUUGUGUGGUCAGUGCAGUGGUAUGCUGGCAGGAAAGUUCUAUGGCAAGGUGUGAAUUUAACUUUUUUUUUUUUUUUUUUUAACAGGUAUGUAAGAGUAAACUAGGUUUUCUGGAGUACCUUUUACUUUAAGAAUUAGUAGAUCAAGUCAGAUGGUUGCAACAUUAUGUGCAGCAGUGGUUAUGUUAUUAACAGCUGAUUUGGGAAGGCAUAUGAGUAAUACCUUGACAAGUUUAAGUUCCAUUUUAGAACAGUUUUAAAGGUCGUCAGUGUAUUUCUUAAAACACUCAAAAUGCCUUUCAAUUAGGCACAAGAAUAAGGUUAUCAAAGCUGCUGCAGUCUGCAGCCAGUCCUUCUCUUUUGUGCAUCCCGCUGCUCUUUGUCUUGUGGUUGUUAACAUUUAAAGAGCAUGUUUAUGGGUUUCAGUAGCCUCUGCAAUCAACAGAAAUUGCUCUGAAAUCCUAAUAAAUGAAUCAAAGAAAGAUCUUCAGUUCUCUUUCCACUAUUUAAACUUAAUUUUAAUUAUGCUGUAUUAAUAUCUGAAGUUAUUUAUUACCUGCUAAUAGAAAUACUUAAAAUCUUAAAGUAUGAUUUUUUUUUCCUGUUUAAUUAGCUUGGCAGAGUUCAUGCAUAACUGUGCAGUGUAAAUAAACUGUUACUGUAUUUCAUGUUUCAGAGCAGAGGGGCAUUGCUGAAUUAAUAUACAUUUCUUUUGUUACUGUGUUGUUGGGUAAUUGUGCUUUAUAAUAUAUUUCAACUUUUUACAUUUAAAUUGUCUCUGUGUUGUUGCUUGUUUUGUUGUUGUUCUUAUGUUGUUAUUAUUAUUUUUUUACUAGCACUGUUAUGCCAUAUUAAAUUGCAUCUUCUUGCAUGAAAAAAGGUGUAAAAUAGAAUGCAGAUACGAAAUGGAGAUCUUUAUCAGAGUAAAAAUAGAAGAACGAAAUAAAACCAUGACACUAAAGCAGAGGUUCCCAAACUUAUUGUACUGAAGUUUGGUCAUUGAUAUGGAUGGGAGGGGACUGUUGAUCCCAGUGGUGUUCAUUUUUCUAUCCUAUGUUCCUCAAUCUAUGACACAUUUCUGAAGGCAGAACUCAGCUCUGUGCUUCCUCAGAAGCCUCACUUACUAGUUUAUCACCCCUGCUUCACUCCGUCCUGUUCCUGCAGACCACCAUCUACUUGUGUGUGGCAAGCCCAGUUCCAAAAUUGCUCUCAAAGCAGUAUCUGCUUACAAAAUGUUAACUGUUGAAGUGUGAUGAUGUUCACAGGCCUAGCUGGAAGGUAUUGUGAUACACCAUAGCUAGAAACAAAGUGUGGCAAAUAGCUGGUCUUACAAAUCCUUCUUCAGAUAAGUAGUGCCCUCAAAGGCCAUUGAAUGCAUUUCAUUAAGGAUUACAUGUGAUUAGUGGUCUGUAAGGUCAAGAGUAUAACCUGUCAUUAAUGAGUAUUCAUAUAUUAACGCUGCUUUGAACAGGAAGUUCAACUAGAUUGCCUCUGAGGUCAGUUGCAAUGAGAAUGUUGUGAUUAUCACACUUGUAUUGUGCAAAUAGAUAUUUAAUUUAUAAAACGACGAUUAAAUAAGCUAAGCCCUAUCAGAUGCUGCAAUUAGUUUUACUUAUUCUGUCAUAUUGUAGUAUGGAGAUAAAACUUGAGUCAAAUUUGUAAGAUUUAAAACAGUUUAAAAAAAAAAAAAAAAAAAGACUUUUUUAUGUAUAUAAUUGAAUUCCUUGUAUAUAGUUCUGUAUUCUUAGCAUACAAUUGAUUUGGUUGUGGUUCUGGAGCUAGUCAGAGUAUAGUGCCAGCAAAUGCAAUGCUCUUAAUUGCAGCUGAACUGUGUCAAUGGGCUCAAGUUGACUCUGGCUAUUUCAGGUACUUUUGGCACUGAGGCUGUUGUACAAAGCCAUCGGUGCAGAUCAGCAGUCUGAGAAAGAAAGGUUUGAGGCCCCAAAAACUUCCAAAGCAAAGACUCUGCAUGUGAGAAGGAAUUCCUAUAUUCAAAAACUAUCAAACAAACAACGUUCUGUGUUUACAUUCUGAGUAUACAUAGAUGUUACCACAGCUGGUUGAGUUGAAUAAACAAUGUGCUGAAUGAGUUUCAAGAUGGAUGCUUUUUCAUUAUUUAAGAAAUUGAAUUUGACUGAUGGUAGUAUGGUCCUUCUCAUUAAGAUGUAUGCAGAACUCAUACAGAUUUCCUUCCUGCUUUUGGAUAACAUGUAUACCUACCGAUACUUCUUUCACUGUUACCAUUUAGUAUUGUAAAUUAAUUAUUUUAAUCAUAGAAUCAAGGUUGGAAAAGAUCACUAAGAUCUUGGGUCCAGCUGUUGACCCAUCACUGUUGACCAUACCCACCGAACCUUGUCCCUCAGUGCCACGUCUACCCUUUAUCUAAAAAGUUGGUGAUAAGUGAGGAAGUCUCCAAAUGGCUCACUGCAAAAAGCCAAAUCACUUUCUCAUUCACGUGACUGGAAAUAUUUUUGUACAAUGUUUGACCCUUCCAAAUAUAUUAAAUAUCCACAUGUGAUUGUUGUCCUGCCUUACUGCAGUGUAUUUCGGGGAAGUACUUGGUCGCUUCUCUGUUUUUAUUUAAAAAAAGGGUCUAAGAUAUCAGCUGAUGUAAGUAGUGUAGUAAGGGCUGGAUAGGUCUCCUGGUCUAUAGGAAUUAUAGAAAGAAAUUAAAAAAAAAAUAAAAAGUGCUAUGAAGGAGCUGAGUGAAUUCUUUACGUUACUCUUUGCUACAGAGAAUGUUGUGAACAUUCUGUUCUUUUCAGACAAUGUAGAUGGGACAUUAUCUGAUUAUUGAAUUAGAGAAUCAAAAAAUUGAAUGCUCAAAUUCUCAAGACCCCUCAGUCACAAGGACUACAUGCAGUUCCUCCUGUGGUUCUAGAGAAUGAAGUGGCUGAGCUGCUAAGAAUGCCUCCGCUUAGGAAGUGAUGCUGUGCCAGAAGACUGAGAGCUGUCAGUUGGUGUAUGUGCUGCACUUCUAAACUGAACGUAUCUGGAAUUUGCAGACCAAGGAUUCAUAUUUUAAUGCCAAGCUAACUGAUGUAAAUACUGAAGUACUUGAAUACAGUCAAGCAGUUCUGUGAGAACACAGGUCUAAUAGAGCCUAGUUUGCUACAUAGCCAUAUGCCUUAGAGGUACCAGCUGCUGCUGGGAUGUUUAUAAGCUGUUUCUAUUAUGUCUGUAUUAGUGUUUUAAUAAUGUGGGUACAUGCUGCAGCCUUUAGUCGGUUUGUGCAGUUUGUGGCUCUAUCUUUUCUAUUCACCUGUCCAGUGCUUGGAAUUCUGACAUCUCUGAAUGCAUACAAAACUGGAAAUGCUUUUUGCUUGCACUUUCACAAAACUGAAAUCAGGUAGUGGACUUAGAAGUUAUGAAGGGUCUCACAGAACCUAGGUAGGCACAUUAAACAACAUUUGUCUCAUCUGUCUUUGUCUGUCUGAACAGAGAAGCAGCAGGAAGGUCAUCUGUUUGGCACUUCUAACCAAAACAGGGGUUCGUCAAGUUAUGCCUCAAGAGUCUGUAGUAGAAGUGUUUACUUUUGUCUUUAAAUAAGCAUCCAAAGUAAAAUUCUAUAUACAUUUGGUAAAAUUAGAGAAAGUUGUGAGGAACUGGCGGACAGCCUUCUAAAGGAUGCAUUAGCAUAAUAAUGGUAGAUGUCAUUCAGUAUUUGCAGUUACAAAAUAACUCUUAGUGGAAGGAAUAACUGAACUACCUAAAGAGAUUUCUAAAUUACAAGUAAAUGUUGCAAAAAUGCAUUUAAGAUCCCAGGUGAAAAUAUCCUUAAUAAGUGUCCACUGUGAAAGAAGCAGCUUAAAAAUUUAUUUUAGUGAUGCUCCUUAGUAGCUUUUAAUGAAAGUUCCUUACUUAAUCAUCUCUGCUGAAAUGAACUGUCCAUCUGGUUUCAUUGCAAACGCCAUUGAUGUUUACUUUACUGAUCAGUGUGUUUACGUAUCCUCUGGGUGUUUUUAAAUGCUGUCGACAAAUAACAAGUUCUGACAAAUAAAGUCUUUGCAUCUUACAUAAUUAAAAUAAUACUGCUGUAUUUCUUGCUUUUGGAUUUAUUUUCUUUGGGUUAUCUCUAAAUGCUCAAUGGCAAUACAUUCAUUCUGCCAUUUUGGAGGAGCCUGUGCCACAGAAUAAUGAUCUGAAGAGAGCUAAUGUAUUUGCAAGGAAGAGUCCUCAUUUGUGCAAUAGUGUUGAUGCAGCUAAGAGGUGCCUUGCCAAGUUCAGCACAGCCUGCCAUACUUGAACGGAACCGUUUUUUCUUGGAAGAAUGAACAGAAUGCUGCAUCUAAAGAGUAAGAAGUUACAGAUUUACUUCCUUGCUUUCUUCAAAAACAGAAGGAUGCUUUUAAAGAUAAGGAUUUUGAAAUGAAGAAUAAAAAAGGAGAGUGUUUUAAGAAAAAGAGUUUGUAAUGGACCAAAUAAGCACGUAUGUUAUCUUUUAAAAAUAUUUAACACAAGUGAAGCUCCUGUAUGGCAAGCCUCAAGACCAAGAAAUCUACUAGAAAUUUUAAGGAAAUGUUCAGAUGUCCAAAUGCAAGUGAUUUAAAAGUAGUAACUUACUAUUACACUCUUCAAGAUGCUUUAUGUAAGUAAAUACUAUAAUGCAGUUAGUCUGAUCCAAAACUUCAUUGCAUUGGAAAAUUGCAAUCCCUAUGUACAGUAGACUACUGGUAGGUCUUUGAAGUGCUCUCUUAACUAUUUGUAUUGAGCUAAUUGUAUAAACAAGUCUUGUUUGUUUAACAAGAUUUUCUGGAGGAGUAAUGUACUUCUCUUGUGUUUAGGAUAAGUUGCUACAAUUGCAAGAAGUUUAAUUUUAUUUUCAACUUCUUUACUCUUGCUGAGGUUGAUCAACUAGCAAACAAAAGGUUUUAAGAACUUCUGUUUGCAAGAGUUUCAUUUGUAAGAUUAGAACAAGUUUACGUGAUUAAAAUUCAACAUUUGAUGAUUAUUUUUUUGUAUCUGAUAUACCUAUCAGCAACUUUGCAAGUUGGGAUAUGGUUGAUACAGUUCUCAUUCUGAACUAAGCACACACAGCUCAGCUUUGGUAAGCAGAGGUUAUACUGUAGGUAUUUAUCAAAAGAUUUCUGGGUGUUGGAGGUUUCUCUUUGUGUAAGAGGGAGAUAGGGAGACAAAAACAUGCCUUCAUGCUUUGUACAGUUUUCCUUGUUUAUGGAAACAUUAGGUAAAUUUUUUUUACUUGGACGUUGUAACUUAAGCUUGAAUAAAUCGCGGAAUUUCUAUCCUGCAUAUCUGCAUUUAUCUCGAGUCUGUUUUGAAAGUUACUGUAAUACAAAUCAUGAAUAAGCAAGAAAAUGUGUUGUUUUAUCAGGUGAUUCUGGUCUUUUAACUCAGUCAGCUAGGAGAUCCAAUCCUUAGAGACCUAAGGGUGACCUGCAUGUAAAACUAAUAAAUAAGGAAGACCACGCCAUUUGCUCCUUUUAAGGAAUACUUGUCGAAGUAACUAAACUUUGUCCCUUUAGAAGCAAAAGGGCUGUUUGUGGGUUUGGGUUUUUUUCAUAGCAUAGCCUGUAUUUGCAGAUGUUUAAAAUAACCAAAUAAACUAGAUAAUGAUGGAAAUAAUAUUGUGUGACAGAACUAAAGGGAUUUUGUUGAAUAACUACUACCUGUUGCUGUCAUUGACAGGCAGAGAUAACAGUGGUCAUUUCUGAUGCUGUGGUCUGGCUGAGGAAGAGUGAUUGCUUUAUGUAUUUUUCAAAGAAGAGUGCAUGCUUACUCAGGAUCCAGUGUUUGUUCCAAAAUUCAACAAUAUUGCAGCAUUUUUAUUUCCAAAAAAAGUUAGUUAAAUGUGGUAAAGUAUUAUGAAAAGAAUAGUGGCACCUUAGUGGCACACGGAACACUCUUGUUAGCUGAACUUGACAGAAUCUGGCAGAAAUUCAAAGUGUGGUUUGUCUCUAGUAAUUCCAUUAACAUUUCAAAGGUUGAUAAUGUUCUGGGAAUUACACAACAGGGAUUAUUUUUUUAUGUUAAGAAUUAGUACUCUAAAGCUUUGCCUGCACUGGGAAUAUUGCAGCUAUCUUGCAAUAGGCGAAUGUACUCUAUUCAAGAUACUAAGUUCUCUAUCAGAUAUUUUGCUACUUUAUCUAUAUUGGCAUAAUUGAAAUAGCAGUGUUCUCUACGCCUAGUGUGAAUAGAGCUGUAUCAGUAUAAAACUAUAUAUUGGUUGCUUAUUUCCAAAUAGAAGGAACAACAUAGGAGGGCUGGCCCAAUUUCAGAAAAUGUUUUUAAUUAUAUUGCAGUUGCUACGCCUCUAUGAACUACACGAGUGAGACCUUAUACUAGAAGAAAAUGACUUCAUUCUAAUUCCUUUGCUCUUAUCCACAGGGCUCCAUAAAAGGUUGCAUCCUUUAGUUUUGUAUGUUCAGUUUGUCUUUGUGGCAAACUUGUGUGUUAAACACAUGUGCUUAUAUUCUAGAAAGCAUAGAUGAUGAGUGGUUUGAUAAUAACAAUGCGUCUUCAUCUCUGAAACAACCCUACUAGUCUACUCAGUUUAUACUGAAACAGUUUAAUGUGAAUGGUUAGAAUUUUCCAUCUGGCUGUGUGUACCAGAGCCUGCAGAUCAUCUGCCCUUCUGAAUCCUAGCUUUACUCUUGUUUGGUAUGGAACAAAAUGUUUUAUGUAUCCUGACCAAACUUUCACUGCUGUUUUAUAGAUCAGUGUCUUGUCUUGCUUUUCUGAUGUGCAAAAUGAAGCUUGUCCAAUAUGUGUUACCCCAAAAAGAAUUAAGAUAAUUGAAGUCAGAAUAUCUGAACUUGGAUCACUUGCAAUAAGGAUGAUCUGCAUGCACAUAUUCUGUAAAGAUAAUGGAUAACAGAUCCAGAUGAUUCCUGAUUUAAAGCUACAGACGAGGGAGUAAUCCUGAUUCCCAUAUUAAGAGGAGGGGAAUUUCAUAAUGAGGAGAAGACUGAGAAUGUGUGAAACCUUUCUGCUCUGAGACUGGAAGUACUGAAGAAUGGACAUGAGUCAGAGACAGGGACAGAAAGAGCACAAAGCCUGAGGGACCUUUGACCAUCCAGAGAACACUCACCAGGUUUAACUAGCUGUUCUCUGUCCGAUGCUCACUGACUGUUCCACUCUUUCUGCCUCUUCUGCUUCAAUCUUGUUUACACUGUGUGCUUUUUUUCCCCCAAUCUGCCCUCCUUGGUGCCUUUUAAAGUUCUUUGUUUGGCUGACUUUUUUUUUUUUUGUCUUCUUUUUUUUUGUUUGUUUGUUUUAAUGGGAGACUUUUAACUGUCCUGUUUUCAUGCACUCUCUGACAAAUCAGAACUUCAGUUUUCAUAAGUUUUCAAGUAUGAUGUGUGUUUCUUUGUCCUGCUUUUUGUAAGGAAUCACUUGAAGGCAAAUGAGUGCCCUUAACGAGAAGAGAUGAUGUGUAUGAGAUUUAAUGGGAUAAGGGAAGCAUUGCUCCUACAGAUUUUCUGUAGGUGAACUAGAGAUUUAAAAGAGCAGAUGUUGAAACAUCUAUGCAUCCUUCUAUUCAGAAAAAAAAUUCUAUAACUUUAUUUUAUUACAGUCUGACAUACCGUAUGAUGAACGUUUCAGGAUGGAUAUUAUGUUGACUAUGUUUGCAUUGUGCAUGCAGUUGUUGGCAAUUUUGUUUGUUUGUUUUCCCUACUCCACAGCUCUUAAAUUCUCUUUCUAGAGGUAGAUGUAGGUUGCUUCUGUUCUGAAGCUUCAGUGCAAAGCCAACACAGCACUAAUGAUGGAUGUGAAUGGACAUCUUAAGGAUAACUGGAUAUGGCAUCUUCAGUAACAGUGGCGUUUUGGUAAGAAUCUGCAUAUAAAUUAUGAAAUAAUACAUGAUGGUUUUCUGUAAAAUGUAUUUAUAUCUGUCUGAAAAUUUGUCCAAUCUCUUAAUGGAAAUGUUUCUUCUACCAUGUGAUAAGUUGGAGGAUUGCUCUAUAUUGUGCAGCACUUGAAAGUCUAAAAAUGUACACAAUUUUACUAAGCAGUGACUUCUUGCAUAUGAAACAGUAAGUUUUUAGAUGACCGAGGGUUUUUAAAGUAUUAAUUAGUGACUAUUUAUGGUUCUCUGCUUCUGAGCCUAUUUCUCUGAGUAUUUACAACUGGAUAUUUUGAACUGUCACUAAACAAACAACACAAAUACUUUUAUUAUACACAGACUAAAUGUUAUAAUUGACCUCCAGUGGCAUGUUUUACCACUAUGUGUGCAACUUUCUAACAGGCAGUGAAUGAAACAACCCAAUUUUGUGGAAGAUAUGCAACAUUUAUGAUUUU
Non-coding RNA from Meleagris gallopavo (turkey), 14377 nucleotides. Lineage: Eukaryota; Metazoa; Chordata; Aves; Galliformes; Phasianidae. The record is from RefSeq and is a predicted model, not a curated record.